GGGCCGGAGCCUGAUGCAGCGACGCCGCGUGAGGGAUGACGGCCUUCGGGUUGUAAACCUCUUUCAGCAGGGAAGAAGCCACAAGUGACGGUACCUGCAGAAGAAGCGCCGGCUAACUACGUGCCAGCAGCCGCGGUAAUACGUAGGGCGCAAGCGUUGUCCGGAAUUAUUGGGCGUAAAGAGCUCGUAGGCGGUUUGUCGCGUCUGCUGUGAAAGCCCGGGGCUCAACCCCGGGUCUGCAGUGGGUACGGGCAGACUAGAGUGCAGUAGGGGAGACUGGAAUUCCUGGUGUAGCGGUGAAAUGCGCAGAUAUCAGGAGGAACACCGAUGGCGAAGGCAGGUCUCUGGGCUGUUACUGACGCUGAGGAGCGAAAGCAUGGGGAGCGAACAGGAUUAGAUACCCUGGUAGUCCAUGCCGUAAACGUUGGGCACUAGGUGUGGGGGACAUUCCACGUUCUCCGCGCCGUAGCUAACGCAUUAAGUGCCCCGCCUGGGGAGUACGGCCGCAAGGCUAAAACUCAAAGGAAUUGACGGGG
This 536-nucleotide ribosomal RNA is filed under the name Kocuria turfanensis. RNAcentral's name for it is "bacterial SSU rRNA". It matches the Rfam family "Bacterial small subunit ribosomal RNA", at positions 373 to 918 of the family's 1533-position model. The record is from RNAcentral. Lineage: Bacteria; Bacillati; Actinomycetota; Actinomycetes; Micrococcales; Micrococcaceae.